This 256-nucleotide ribosomal RNA is filed under the name uncultured bacterium. Its description in RNAcentral is "partial 16S ribosomal RNA". It matches the Rfam family "Bacterial small subunit ribosomal RNA", at positions 524 to 777 of the family's 1533-position model. The record is from RNAcentral.
UACGAAGGGGGCUAGCGUUGUUCGGAUUUACUGGGCGUAAAGCGCACGUAGGCGGAUCGUUAAGUCGGGGGUGAAAUCCUGGGGCUCAACCCCAGAACUGCCUUCGAUACUGGCGAUCUCGAGUCCGGAAGAGGUGAGUGGAACUCCUAGUGUAGAGGUGGAAUUCGUAGAUAUUAGGAAGAACACCAGUGGCGAAGGCGGGUCGCUGGACAGUUCCUGACGCUGAGGCACGAAGGUCAGGGGAGACGAAAGCGGG